GUCUCAGUCCCAGUGUGGCCGGUCACCCUCUCAGGCCGGCUACCCGUCGUCCCUUGGUAGGCCAUUACCCCACCAACAAGCUGAUAGGCCGCGGGCUCAUCCUUCACCGCCGGAGCUUUUAACCCCGUCCCAUGCGGGACAGAGUGUUAUCCGGUAUUAGACCCCGUUUCCAGGGCUUGUCCCAGAGUGAAGGGCAAAUUGCCCACGUGUUACUCACCCGUUCGCCACUAAUCCACCCCGAAAGGCUUCAUCGUUCGACUUGCAUGUGUUAAGCACCCCGCCAGCGUUCGUCCUGAGCCAGGAUCAAACU
Molecule: ribosomal RNA, 310 nt
Filed under: Streptomyces flavogriseus
Lineage: Bacteria; Bacillati; Actinomycetota; Actinomycetes; Kitasatosporales; Streptomycetaceae
Description: partial 16S ribosomal RNA
Source: RNAcentral